GCUGGUGAUUUGGUGACCAUUGAGACUUCAUUUAGAUAACACACGUCUUCAAAAUUAAUAGUUUAAAAUAAAAUAUUGGGGAGUUAAAAAUUGAAAAGUGGAACGCUAAAAUGUAUAUACAAACCUAUUCUAUUACUUUCCUCUGGGCAAAGUCUUAAGAAAAAUAUAUAUUGAAACUGUAGGAGAUUAUAGUGGGUUUAACGACAACGAGACAGCAAUUAAACAACAAAAAACACACAAGGACAGCUAGUUGGCAACAUAUAUAGUGUUCACCAAUAGAUAGGUGUAUACACAACAUGCCAAUUUCUAAAUCAUCCCUUAUUUCUUUAUCAUUGUGAAUAAUUUAUCCCAGAUAAUAGAAUACAUGUAUUACAUGUCUUUGAUUUAACAGAACAAAUGAUAAAAGAUCUGGCAUUAAAACGUGACUUCUCAAUAUAAUUUAAAAAUUGAGGAGAAAGCCAGAAUAUGAAAGUUAUACAAUAUAAAGAAUACCAAUCUUAAAGUUUUACCACUUAGAGGUUUAUUGUCCCCCUUCUUUUAACCUACAAGAAAACUUCCUAAGAUCCGAUGAUUAAAUAUCUACCUUAUUUUUCCGAAAUGUUCAUAUAUGAUAUGUAUCAAUAUGGCGUCAAGUGUUUAAACACUUAUCAAAUCGGUGUGCACGUUAAAUAAAUAUAAAUAAAUAAAUGUUUAAAAAUGAUGCAAUUUUAUUAUCAAUCUAAAAAUAUUAAUCAUGAAAAAAAAAUAUAUAUGCAUAUAUUAAAUGACUGAAGCAAUUAAAAUUCUUAAGGAUAUUGUUAAAAUAUUGUUGAAAACUGAGACUACUAUAACUGAAAAUAAUACGUAAUAUUGAUGAUACUAGUAUAAGCAAGUGUGACAAACCAUAUAUACCCAAAUCAAUCAAAAAUUUGUUGUUUGGGAUUAUUCAUGGUUGACUAGUUCCAUAUUUACCAGUGACAUAUGUGUCCUAAUUAUUAAGAAAAGGGACAGAAAAAGCAUUAAUCUAAAAUAGCACUAUAUUUUCAAAAUUCACUGCAUGAUUUAAACUGCUUUAAAGUGUUUCAUUUUAUUUUAUCUUUGUGCAUAUACGAAAAAUUGAUAACAGGUUAAACAUCAGUGUUCAUGACUUGCGACUAUUAUAUUUCUUGUGAAAUUGAUAGAUGAGCGGAUUUUCACAAAUACCGAACUAAAGAAUAUAGCGUAAACGUCAAUUAAUGGACAAGCAACCCAACGAGAAAAAUAAGAUAUAAGAGGCAUCUACAUGUACAUGUAUUUCUAGUUUUGAGUUAAAGAAAUCAUUCAAGGUCAUAUGAUUCUAUUCAGAUUUGUGCGUUUUUCGAUUUACGAAUAAGUCAUUAAGAUAAAAAAAAAAGUAAUUGAAGCAAAAAAAAAAAAAGAUACAUGAAAUAAAGUAACAACAUAAGUUUACAAAUACAUACCUAGGUGCAUUUAAUAAAAACAACAUUUGAACUCAAUAUUAUUAACAUUUUUUUUUCAAUUGUAAUUGUAUGUGUAUGUAAAAUAUACGGAAAUGACACGGCUGGGUAUUGUAAAGUUACUGAAGGAAGAUUAGUGUCAGGUGCAUAUCCCCGGGCGAAGAAUUUACUGAUUUGUCAAAACGGUCAGGUGUAAUAUGUCAAAUUGUAAAGGUUUGUAUCGCGCCCAUCUCUUCUUUUUCCGACGUAGUCGGUAUAGUUUUAGUUUGUGCCCUUUGAACUUAAGGACGCUUAACUAUGGCAACAGAAUACGCAUGCUCGAAAAUCCUGUCUUUGAUUGGACAAAAUGCUGUCAUGGUGGGUGAUUUGGUUGUGUUUGAAAAAAACGUCUCGUUAAUUAUAUCGUGAUGGAAAGCAAGUGAAAAACUAUAAAUAUUUGAACUAGAUCUUACAAAGAUUUAUAUUUUUAUUAAAAUAAUUGUUUCUCCAAUAGCUCUUUGCAUCCAUGACAGCUGUUUAUUCGGAACAAUUAUAUAAUUUUUAAUGUAAACUUUGUUGGACGAACGUACAUGACUUUUAGAACGCACAUACACAUGUGAGAUUUCCGCGGGGUAACACAAACAGAAAAAUCGUUAUUUAAAUGGUAAAUCAGUUAUUUAAAUAUAAUUGGAAUAGUCACAAAACAAUUUGUAAUGUUCUUUUGUUGGUAAUUCAAUGAUUUUUAGAUAGUUACAGCAUUGUUGUUCACAAGAUGAAGGCAGUGAACGGGCGUUGCCACCAAGGACAAAUUGUGUCAAACUAUGCAGGUUUUCAGUGCACUGCAAUCGCCUUCUUGUAGUUACAUUCAGAUGGAGAUUUAAUUAAAGAGGUCCUGCAUCAUUAAGUCAUUGUGCUUCUGAAGGUUAUCGAAAUGAUAGUUUUAAACAUUUACUCAAAUUUAAAUACGUCGGAUAUCUUUUUUAAAGAUAGUUCUUGUUUUUUAUAAUAUGAAUUGC
Molecule: long non-coding RNA, 2431 nt
Filed under: Mytilus galloprovincialis (Mediterranean mussel)
Lineage: Eukaryota; Metazoa; Mollusca; Bivalvia; Mytilida; Mytilidae
Source: RNAcentral